AGUGAGAACAGCCCUGGUAGGGCGGGAGCAGUCGCGGAAGGUGGAAGCAGCCUGGGAAGCAAUCCGCUUCGGGGAAGCCGUGGAGCGGCUCAGAAAGGACGAGGAAGCCACGAGCCCACACCCAUCAGGAGAUGAUUCUAGAUGAAGGAGGCACUGCAGGGAAGGAGGGGGAAUGUGACCUCCAAGUUUAGACAGAGCCUAUGUG
Pipra filicauda (Wire-tailed manakin) is the source of this 205-nucleotide long non-coding RNA. RefSeq lists it as uncharacterized. The transcript is spliced from 3 exons. NCBI's taxonomy places the organism in Eukaryota, Metazoa, Chordata, Aves, Passeriformes, Pipridae. The record is from RefSeq and is a predicted model, not a curated record.